RNAcentral lists this ribosomal RNA (498 nucleotides) under uncultured bacterium. Its description in RNAcentral is "partial 16S ribosomal RNA". It matches the Rfam family "Bacterial small subunit ribosomal RNA", at positions 28 to 507 of the family's 1533-position model. The record is from RNAcentral.
GACGAACGCUGGCGGCGUGCCUAAUACAUGCAAGUCGAGCGGACGGAUGGGAGCUUGCUCCCAGACCGUCAGCGGCGGACGGGUGAGUAACACGUGGGCAACCUGCCUGUAAGACUGGGAUAACUCCGGAAAACCGGGGCUAAUACCGGAUAACUCUUUCCCUCACAUGAGGGAAAGCUGAAAGAUGGCAUCUCGCUAUCACUUACAGAUGGGCCCGCGGGGCAUUAGCUAGUUGGUGAGGUAACGGCUCACCAAGGCGACGAUGCGUAGCCGACCUGAGAGGGUGAUCGACCACACUGGGACUGAGACACGGCCCAGACUCCUACGGGAGGCAGCAGUAGGGAAUCUUACGCAAUGGACGAAAGUCUGACGGAGCAACGCCGCGUGAGUGAUGAAGGUUUUCGGAUCGUAAAACUCUGUUGUCAGGGAAGAACAAGUACCGGAGUAACUGCCGGUACCGUGACGGUAACUGGCCAGAAAGCCACGGCUAACUACGUG